GAAGGUUCCGAUAACUGGCGGAUAUGUGGGGUACCACAGGGAAAUCGGAAUCCAUAAGGAGUCGACCGUCUGGGCAGCAAUG
Molecule: non-coding RNA, 82 nt
Filed under: Firmicutes bacterium CAG:646
Lineage: Bacteria; Bacillati; Bacillota
Also listed under: 1 other name
Description: ZMP/ZTP riboswitch aptamer (pfl RNA motif)
Rfam family: ZMP/ZTP riboswitch aptamer (pfl RNA motif)
About the family: Previously known as pfl RNA.
Source: Rfam by way of RNAcentral